CUCUCGAGAAGGCGCGGGGCGGGCUGUCCGGCCCGCAGGGCGGUCGAGCCCGCGGCGCCAUGGCUCACGUCGGCUCCCGCAAGCGCUCGAGGAGUCGCAGCCGGUCCCGGGGACGGGGGUCGGAAAAGAGAAAGAAGAAGAGCAGGAAAGACACCUCGAGGAACUGCUCGGCCUCCACAUCCCAAGGUCGCAAGGCCAGCACGGCCCCUGGGGCGGAGGAGAGAAGCAAGCAGAAGGCCCGGAGGAGAACAAGAUCCAGCUCCUCCUCCUCUUCUUCCAGUUCUUCUAGCUCCUCUUCUUCCUCCUCGUCCUCCUCCUCUUCCUCCAGUGAUGGCCGGAAGAAGCGGGGGAAGUACAAGGACAAGAGGAGGAAGAAGAAGAAGAAGAGGAAGAAGCUGAAGAAGAAGGGCAAGGAGAAGGCGGAAGCACAGCAGGUGGAGCAUCAUCCGCAAGGUGGUGGACCCUGAGACGGGGCGCACCAGGCUUAUUAAGGGAGAUGGCGAGGUCCUAGAGGAAAUCGUAACCAAAGAACGACACAGAGAGAUCAACAAGCAAGCCACCCGAGGGGACUGCCUGGCCUUCCAGAUGCGAGCUGGGUUGCUUCCCUGAGGGCCCCCGCUGGCCAAGGCCUGUGGACGACGCUGGCGGCCCAGCCUGGGCAGGUUUCAGGGUGCCAGUGGGAAGCCUGAUGGGUGCUGGUGGCCUUUCCCCCGUGGAUUGGUCUCUGGCCCAGCCCAGUCUCUUCUCAGGGGCAGGGGGUGGAGGUUGGGGUCACCGGCCUGCUUGGCACCCCCAUCUGAAAGAGCAGCACUUCUCAGCUAUUAAAGGCCCC
RNAcentral lists this long non-coding RNA (832 nucleotides) under Homo sapiens (human). RNAcentral's name for it is "long non-coding RNA NONHSAT162917.1". The record is from RNAcentral. Lineage: Eukaryota; Metazoa; Chordata; Mammalia; Primates; Hominidae.